UACAGAGGGUGCAAGCGUUAAUCGGAAUUACUGGGCGUAAAGCGAGCGUAGUCGGUUAUUUAAGUCGGAUGUGAAAUCCCCGGGCUCAACCUGGGAAUUGCAUUCGAUACGGGCUAGCUAGAGUGUGGUAGGGGAGAUCGGAAUUCCUGGUGUAGCGGUGAAAUGCGCAGAUAUCAGGAGGAACACCAAUAGCGAAGGCAGCUCGCUGGGACGGUACUGACGCUGAGACGCGAAAGCGUGGGGAGCAAACAGG
This 253-nucleotide ribosomal RNA is filed under the name uncultured bacterium. RNAcentral describes it as "partial 16S ribosomal RNA". It matches the Rfam family "Bacterial small subunit ribosomal RNA", at positions 524 to 776 of the family's 1533-position model. The record is from RNAcentral.